Molecule: ribosomal RNA, 253 nt
Filed under: uncultured bacterium
Lineage: Bacteria
Description: partial 16S ribosomal RNA
Rfam family: Bacterial small subunit ribosomal RNA
Source: RNAcentral
UACAGAGGUCUCAAGCGUUGUUCGGAUUCAUUGGGCGUAAAGGGUGUGUAGGUGGCGCGCUAAGUCGGGUGUGAAAUUUCGGAGCUUAACUCCGAAACUGCAUUCGAUACUGGCGUGCUUGAGGACUGGAGAGGAGACUGGAAUUCAUGGUGUAGCAGUGAAAUGCGUAGAGAUCAUGAGGAAGACCAGUGGCGAAGGCGGGUCUCUGGACAGUUCCUGACACUGAGACACGAAGGCCAGGAGAGCAAACAGG